UACAGAGGUCUCAAGCGUUGUUCGGAAUCACUGGGCGUAAAGGGUGUGUAGGCGGCGUGAAAAGUCAGAUGUGAAAUCCGGGGGCUCAACCUCCGAAAUGCAUCCGAUACUGUCAUGCUGGAGGUCUGUAGAGGGGUCUGGAAUUCUCGGUGUAGCAGUGAAAUGCGUGGAUAUCUUAAGGAAGACCAGUGGCGAAGGCGGGUCUCUGGACAGUUCCUGACGCUGAGGCACGAAGGCCAGGGGAGCAAACGGG
Molecule: ribosomal RNA, 253 nt
Filed under: uncultured bacterium
Lineage: Bacteria
Description: partial 16S ribosomal RNA
Rfam family: Bacterial small subunit ribosomal RNA
Source: RNAcentral